This 440-nucleotide ribosomal RNA is filed under the name uncultured bacterium. RNAcentral describes it as "partial 16S ribosomal RNA". It matches the Rfam family "Bacterial small subunit ribosomal RNA", at positions 338 to 795 of the family's 1533-position model. The record is from RNAcentral.
ACUACGGGAGGCAGCAGUGGGGGAUAUUGCACAAUGGGGGAAACCCUGAUGCAGCGACGCCGCGUGAGUGAAGCAGUAUUUCGGUAUGUAAAGCUCUAUCAGCAGGGAAGACAAUGACAGUACCUGACCAAGAAGCCCCGGCUAACUACGUGCAAGCAGCCGCGGUAAUACGUAGGGGGCAAGCGUUAUCCGGAUUUACUGGGUGUAAAGGGAGCGUAGACGUUUAUGUAAUUCUGGAGUGAAAGCCCGGGGCUCAACCCCGGGACUGAUUUGGACACUGUGUAACUGGAGUACAGGAGGGGCAGGCGGAAUUCCUGGUGUAGCGGUGAAAUGCGUAGAUAUCAGGAGGAACACAGGCGGCGAAGGCGGCCUGCUGGACUGAAACUGACGUUGUGGCUCGAAAGCGUGGGGAGCAAACAGGAUUAGAUACCCUAGUAGUC